This is a long non-coding RNA of Gopherus evgoodei (Goodes thornscrub tortoise), 96 nucleotides long. RefSeq lists it as uncharacterized. The record is from RefSeq and is a predicted model, not a curated record. The transcript is spliced from 3 exons. Lineage: Eukaryota; Metazoa; Chordata; Testudines; Testudinidae.
CUCAGUCAGCUCCUUGAGUAUUAUAGUAUGUAUUUCAUCAGGCCUUGGUGACUUGAAGGCAUUGAAUUUGUCUAAAUAUGUUUUAACUUUUUCUUU